RNAcentral lists this ribosomal RNA (834 nucleotides) under uncultured bacterium. Its description in RNAcentral is "bacterial SSU rRNA". It matches the Rfam family "Bacterial small subunit ribosomal RNA", at positions 51 to 878 of the family's 1533-position model. The record is from RNAcentral.
ACACAUGCAAGUCGAGGGGCAGCAUCAUCAAAGCUUGCUUUGAUGGAUGGCGACCGGCGCACGGGUGAGUAACACGUAUCCAACCUGCCGACAACACUGGGAUAGCCUUUCGAAAGAAAGAUUAAUACCGGAUGGUAUAGUUUUCCCGCAUGGGGUGACUAUUAAAGAAUUUCGGUUGUCGAUGGGGAUGCGUUCCAUUAGGCAGUUGGCGGGGUAACGGCCCACCAAACCAACGAUGGAUAGGGGUUCUGAGAGGAAGGUCCCCCACAUUGGAACUGAGACACGGUCCAAACUCCUACGGGAGGCAGCAGUGAGGAAUAUUGGUCAAUGGACGAGAGUCUGAACCAGCCAAGUAGCGUGAAGGAUGACUGCCCUAUGGGUUGUAAACUUCUUUUAUACGGGAAUAAAGUGAGCCACGUGUGGCUUUUUGUAUGUACCGUAUGAAUAAGGAUCGGCUAACUCCGUGCCAGCAGCCGCGGUAAUACGGAGGAUCCGAGCGUUAUCCGGAUUUAUUGGGUUUAAAGGGAGCGUAGGCGGGUUGUUAAGUCAGUUGUGAAAGUUUGCGGCUCAACCGUAAAAUUGCAGUUGAUACUGGCGACCUUGAGUGCAACAGAGGUAGGCGGAAUUCGUGGUGUAGCGGUGAAAUGCUUAGAUAUCACGAAGAACUCCGAUUGCGAAGGCAGCUUACUGGAUUGUAACUGACGCUGAUGCUCGAAAGUGUGGGUAUCAAACAGGAUUAGAUACCCUGGUAGUCCACACAGUAAACGAUGAAUACUCGCUGUUGGCGAUAUACAGUCAGCGGCCAAGCGAAAGCAUUAAGUAUUCCACCUGGGG